UAAGCGGAGGAAAAGAAACAACAGGGAUUGCCCUAGUAACGGCGAGUGAAGCGGCAACAGCUCAAAUUUGAAAUCUGGCUUCGGCCCGAGUUGUAAUUUGUAAAGGAAGCUUUAGGCGCGGCACCUUCUGAGUCCCCUGGAACGGGGCGCCAUAGAGGGUGAGAGCCCCGUAUAGUUGGAUGCCUAGCCUGUGUAAAGCUCCUUCGACGAGUCGAGUAGUUUGGGAAUGCUGCUCAAAAUGGGAGGUAAAUUUCUUCUAAAGCUAAAUACCGGCCAGAGACCGAUAGCGCACAAGUAGAGUGAUCGAAAGAUGAAAAGCACUUUGAAAAGAGGGUUAAAUAGCACGUGAAAUUGUUGAAAGGGAAGCGCUUGUGACCAGACUUGCGUCGGGCUGAUCAUCCGGUGUUCUCACCGGUGCACUCUGCCCGGCUCAGGCCAGCAUCGGUUCUCGCGGGGGGAUAAAGGUUCCGGGAAUGUAGCUCCUCCGGGAGUGUUAUAGCCCGGGGCGUAAUGCCCUCGCGGGGACCGAGGUUCGCGCUCUGCAAGGAUGCUGGCGUAAUGGUCAUCAGCGACCCGUCUUGAAACACGGACCAAGGAGUCAAGGUUUUGCGCGAGUGUUUGGGUGUAAAACCCGCACGCGUAAUGAAAGUGAACGUAGGUGAGAGCUUCGGCGCAUCAUCGACCGAUCCUGAUGUUUUCGGAUGGAUUUGAGUAAGAGCGUUAAGCCUUGGACCCGAAAGAUGGUGAACUAUGCUUGGAUAGGGUGAAGCCAGAGGAAACUCUGGUGGAGGCUCGCAGCGGUUCUGACGUGCAAAUCGAUCGUCAAAUCUGAGCAUGGGGGCGAAAGACUAAUCGAACCAUCUAGUAGCUGGUUACCGCCGAAGUUUCCCUCAGGAUAGCAGUGUUGUCUUCAGUUUUAUGAGGUAAAGCGAAUGAUUAGGGACUCGGGGGCGCUUUUUAGCCUUCAUCCAUUCUCAAACUUUAAAUAUGUAAGAAGCCCUUGUUACUUAGUUGAACGUGGGCAUUCGAAUGUUACCAACACUAGUGGGCCAUUUUUGGUAAGCCAAAAACUGGCGAAUGCGGGA
RNAcentral lists this ribosomal RNA (1085 nucleotides) under Amesomyces dreyfussii. Its description in RNAcentral is "eukaryotic LSU rRNA". It matches the Rfam family "Eukaryotic large subunit ribosomal RNA", at positions 47 to 1163 of the family's 3401-position model. Lineage: Eukaryota; Fungi; Ascomycota; Sordariomycetes; Sordariales; Chaetomiaceae. The record is from RNAcentral.